GACGAACGCUGGCGGCGUGCCUAAUACAUGCAAGUUGAGCGCUGAAGGUUGGUACUUGUACCAACUGGAUGAGCAGCGAACGGGUGAGUAACGCGUGGGGAAUCUGCCUUUGAGCGGGGGACAACAUUUGGAAACGAAUGCUAAUACCGCAUAAAAACUUUAAACACAAGUUUUAAGUUUGAAAGAUGCAAUUGCAUCACUCAAAGAUGAUCCCGCGUUGUAUUAGCUAGUUGGUGAGGUAAAGGCUCACCAAGGCGAUGAUACAUAGCCGACCUGAGAGGGUGAUCGGCCACAUUGGGACUGAGACACGGCCCAAACUCCUACGGGAGGCAGCAGUAGGGAAUCUUCGGCAAUGGACGAAAGUCUGACCGAGCAACGCCGCGUGAGUGAAGAAGGUUUUCGGAUCGUAAAACUCUGUUGGUAGCGAAGAACGUUGGUGAGAGUGGAAAGCUCAUCAAGUGACGGUAACUACCCAGAAAGGGACGGCUAACUACGU
Molecule: ribosomal RNA, 496 nt
Filed under: uncultured bacterium
Lineage: Bacteria
Description: partial 16S ribosomal RNA
Rfam family: Bacterial small subunit ribosomal RNA
Source: RNAcentral